AACAAGCCUAUACAAAACCACAUUCAACUCUUUUGCUACAUAUUCAAUUAUCCAUAUUUUGGCAAAAGAUAAUGCAUUAAUAUAUGCAUUUAGGGUGUUUUGCAUUAAUGGAUCUAGAUUUGAGGUUUAUUAUUUCCUUAGAACUAUGGUUUGGACAAGUCACAAAGCAAGAGCUCAAAACAAGCCUAAAGUGUUUAUUUAUGGAUGGUAAGUUCUCUAUAUUGCAAGCUAGAUAUAGCCAUGAUCUUCCACCAUGAUAAGGUAAGUACCUUUCUAUUGGUUAUGUUCAUUCAACUUUCUUUCCAAACAAUCUAUGCUAAUCUAAUUCAAGUCCAAAAUCAUGCAAGCUUGAUAAAAAAGAAGAGCUCUCUCUUGUCCAAACCCUAGUUUUAAAGAAAU
RNAcentral lists this long non-coding RNA (399 nucleotides) under Lupinus angustifolius (narrow-leaved blue lupine). Its description in RNAcentral is "long non-coding RNA (LANG_LNC001916)". Lineage: Eukaryota; Viridiplantae; Streptophyta; Magnoliopsida; Fabales; Fabaceae. The record is from RNAcentral.